Molecule: ribosomal RNA, 439 nt
Filed under: uncultured bacterium
Lineage: Bacteria
Description: partial 16S ribosomal RNA
Rfam family: Bacterial small subunit ribosomal RNA
Source: RNAcentral
CUACGGGGCGCUGCAGUGGGGAAUAUUGCACAAUGGACGAAAGUCUGAUGCAGCAACGCCGCGUGGAGGAUGACACAUUUCGGUGCGUAAACUCCUUUUAUAUAGGAAGAUAAUGACGGUACUAUAUGAAUAAGCGCCGGCUAACUCCGUGCCAGCAGCCGCGAUAAUACGGAGGGCGCAAGCGUUACUCGGAAUCACUGGGCGUAAAGAGCGUGUAGGCGGAUAGAUAAGUCAGGAGUGAAAUCCUAUGGCUCAACCAUAGAACUGCUCUUGAAACUGUCUAUCUAGAAUAUGGGAGAGGUAGAUGGAAUUUCUGGUGUAGGGGUAAAAUCCGUAGAGAUCAGAAGGAAUACCGAUUGCGAAGGCGAUCUACUGGAACAUUAUUGACGCUGAGACGCGAAAGCGUGGGGAGCAAACAGGAUUAGAUACCCCUGUAGUC